GACGAACGCUGGCGGCGUGCUUAACACAUGCAAGUCGAACGGAAAGGCCCUGCUUUUGUGGGGUGCUCGAGUGGCGAACGGGUGAGUAACACGUGAGUAACCUGCCCUUGACUUUGGGAUAACUUCAGGAAACUGGGGCGAAUACCGGAUAGGAGCUCCUGCUGCAUGGGGGGGGUUGGAAAGUUUCGGCGGUUGGGGAUGGACUCGCGGCUUAUCAGCUUGUUGGUGGGGUAGUGGCUUACCAAGGCUUUGACGGGUAGCCGGCCUGAGAGGGUGACCGGCCACAUUGGGACUGAGAUACGGCCCAGACUCCUACGGGAGGCAGCAGUGGGGAAUAUUGCACAAUGGGCGGAAGCCUGAUGCAGCAACGCCGCGUGCGGGAUGACGGCCUUCGGGUUGUAAACCGCUUUCGCCUGUGACGAAGCGUGAGUGACGGUAAUGGGUCAAGAAGCACCGGCUAACUACGUG
This 468-nucleotide ribosomal RNA is filed under the name uncultured bacterium. Its description in RNAcentral is "partial 16S ribosomal RNA". It matches the Rfam family "Bacterial small subunit ribosomal RNA", at positions 28 to 507 of the family's 1533-position model. The record is from RNAcentral.